This 548-nucleotide ribosomal RNA is filed under the name uncultured Glomus. Its description in RNAcentral is "SSU rRNA". It matches the Rfam family "Eukaryotic small subunit ribosomal RNA", at positions 548 to 1098 of the family's 1831-position model. Lineage: Eukaryota; Fungi; Glomeromycota; Glomeromycetes; Glomerales; Glomeraceae. The record is from RNAcentral.
UUGGAGGGCAAGUCUGGUGCCAGCAGCCGCGGUAAUUCCAGCUCCAAUAGCGUAUAUUAAAGUUGUUGCAGUUAAAAAGCUCGUAGUUGAAUUUCGGAAUCAAUUUGUUGGUCGUGCCUCGGUACGUACUGGUAUUAUUGGUUUCUACCUUCUGAAGAACCUUGAUGUCAUUAAUUUGGUGUCUUGGGGAAUCAGGACUGUUACUUUGAAAAAAUUAGAGUGUCUAAAGCAAGCAUACGCUUGAAUACAUUAGCAUGGAAUAAUGAAAUAGGACGUUUGAUUCUAUUUUGUUGGUUUCUAGGAUCGACGUAAUGAUUAAUAGGGAUAGUUGGGGGCAUUAGUAUUCAAUUGUCAGAGGUGAAAUUCUUGGAUUUAUUGAAGACUAACUACUGCGAAAGCAUUUGCCAAGGAUGUUUUCAUUAAUCAAGAACGAAAGUUAGGGGAUCGAAGACGAUCAGAUACCGUCGUAGUCUUAACCAUAAACUAUGCCGACUAGGGAUCGGACGAAGUUAAUUUUAUAAUGACGCGUUCGGCGCCUUACGGGAAAC